This 253-nucleotide ribosomal RNA is filed under the name uncultured bacterium. Its description in RNAcentral is "partial 16S ribosomal RNA". It matches the Rfam family "Bacterial small subunit ribosomal RNA", at positions 524 to 776 of the family's 1533-position model. The record is from RNAcentral.
UACGUAGGGGGCAAGCGUUGUCCGGAAUCAUUGGGCGUAAAGAGCGUGUAGGUGGCUCGGUAAGUCCGCUGUAAAAGUCCAGGGCUCAACCCUGGAAUGCCGGUGGAAACUGUCGAGCUAGAGUCCGGAAGAGGCGAGUGGAAUUCCUGGUGUAGCGGUGAAAUGCGCAGAUAUCAGGAGGAACACCAAUGGCGAAGGCAGCUCGCUGGGACGGUACUGACACUGAGACGCGAAAGCGUGGGGAGCAAACAGG